Amblyraja radiata (thorny skate) is the source of this 391-nucleotide long non-coding RNA. RefSeq lists it as uncharacterized. The record is from RefSeq and is a predicted model, not a curated record. NCBI's taxonomy places the organism in Eukaryota, Metazoa, Chordata, Chondrichthyes, Rajiformes, Rajidae. The transcript is spliced from 3 exons.
UAAAUGGCUUGGUGCUUUAUCUGUUCUUGCCCUGCACAGUAUGGAAUUGUUUUACAACGUGAAGCCACGGAGCUCGCAGCAACAAAUGCCUGCAAUACCAGUGUCGAGACAGUUGAGGGAGCUGCAGAGCCAUUGACUGUGGUGCAGAUAUUGGUAAACACCAGUGGAUGCAGUUGUCAAAAGAAACUGUACUACAGCUCUGUGAUGUUCUCAUCCUUGUUUGUGGAAACUUGGUGGGCAGCCUGGCAGGCGACUGACUUGUCUACCUUUGACUGUGAAUACAGGUAAGGAGAAUGAUUCCAACAACUCUUUCACUAAUCUUGCUAUGACUGUAUCCAUCCUUCUCCGCAAGCUUCCAUCCUUGCCCAUAACCUUGCAUCCUUUCUUGUGA